RNAcentral lists this ribosomal RNA (512 nucleotides) under uncultured bacterium. RNAcentral describes it as "partial 16S ribosomal RNA". It matches the Rfam family "Bacterial small subunit ribosomal RNA", at positions 28 to 523 of the family's 1533-position model. The record is from RNAcentral.
GACGAACGCUGGCGGCGUGCCUAAUACAUGCAAGUCGAGCGAAUCAAUAGGAGCUUGCUCCUGUUGGUUAGCGGCGGACGGGUGAGUAACACGUGGGCAACCUGCCUGUAAGACUGGGAUAACAUCGGGAAACCGAUGCUAAUACCGGAUAAUUCAUUCCCUCUCAUGAGGGAAUGUUGAAAGGCGGUUUCGGCUGACACUUACAGAUGGGCCCGCGGCGCAUGAGCUAGUUGGUGAGGUAACGGCUCACCAAGGCGACGAUGCGUAGCCGACCUGAGAGGGUGAUCGGCCACACGGGGACUGAGACACGGCCCAGACUCCUACGGGAGGCAGCAGUAGGGAAUCUUCCACAAUGGACGAAAGUCUGAUGGAGCAACGCCGCGUGAGCGAUGAAGGCCUUCGGGUCGUAAAGCUCUGUUGUUAGGGAAGAACAUGUACCGGAGUAACUGCCGGUACCUUGACGGUACCUAACCAGAAAGCCACGGCUAACUACGUGCCAGCAGCCGCCGUAA